Molecule: ribosomal RNA, 1014 nt
Filed under: Enterobacter sp.
Lineage: Bacteria; Pseudomonadati; Pseudomonadota; Gammaproteobacteria; Enterobacterales; Enterobacteriaceae
Description: bacterial SSU rRNA
Rfam family: Bacterial small subunit ribosomal RNA
Source: RNAcentral
CAGUCGAGCGGUAGCACAGAGAGCUUGCUCUCGGGUGACGAGCGGCGGACGGGUGAGUAAUGUCUGGGAAACUGCCUGAUGGAGGGGGAUAACUACUGGAAACGGUAGCUAAUACCGCAUAACGUCGCAAGACCAAAGAGGGGGACCUUCGGGCCUCUUGCCAUCAGAUGUGCCCAGAUGGGAUUAGCUAGUAGGUGGGGUAACGGCUCACCAAGGCGACGAUCCCUAGCUGGUCUGAGAGGAUGACCAGCCACACUGGAACUGAGACACGGUCCAGACUCCUACGGGAGGCAGCAGUGGGGAAUAUUGCACAAUGGGCGCAAGCCUGAUGCAGCCAUGCCGCGUGUAUGAAGAAGGCCUUCGGGUUGUAAAGUACUUUCAGCGGGGAGGAAGGUGCUGAGGUUAAUAACCUCAGCAAUUGACGUUACCCGCAGAUUAAGCACCGGCUAACUCCGUGCCAGCAGCCGCGGUAAUACGGAGGGUGCAAGCGUUAAUCGGAAUUACUGGGCGUAAAGCGCACGCAGGCGGUCUGUCAAGUCGGAUGUGAAAUCCCCGGGCUCAACCUGGGAACUGCAUUCGAAACUGGCAGGCUAGAGUCUUGUAGAGGGGGGUAGAAUUCCAGGUGUAGCGGUGAAAUGCGUAGAGAUCUGGAGGAAUACCGGUGGCGAAGGCGGCCCCCUGGACAAAGACUCACGCUCAGGUGCGAAAGCGUCCGGGGAGCAAACAGGAUUAGAUACCCUGGUAGUCCACGCCGUAAACGAUGUCGACUUGGAGGUUGUGCCCUUGAGGCGUGGCUUCCGGAGCUAACGCGUUAAGUCGACCGCCUGGGGAGUACGGCCGCAAGGUUAAAACUCAAAUGAAUUGACGGGGGCCCACACAAGCGGUGGAGCAUGUGGUUUAAUUCGAUGCAACGCGAAGAACCUUACCUACUCUUGACAUCCAGAGAACUUUCCAGAGAUGGAUUGGUGCCUUCGGGAACUCUGAGACAGGUGCUGCAUGGCUGUCGUCAGCUCG